GAUCUUGGAGGUCUUUUCCAACGCUGAUGAUUCUGUGAUUCUAUAAUUCUAUGGAUUGAGACCCUCCUCCAGACUGAAACGGGCUUCAAAAUGCACCAUCGUGUUGUGCUUGGAUAGGGCAUUGCUGUCCCCCUCACCAAAGCCUCCUGUCCGCAGCAGGAAGACCAGAAGGGAGGGUGGUGCUCACCCAUCCCAGGACAUACUCAUCCUUGAGCAUCACAUUCUUCGCAGGAAGGUUCACCAAAUGACUCAGCUGGACAGAGCUGAAUCCAGUCCAGGACAUCAC
Molecule: long non-coding RNA, 286 nt
Filed under: Gallus gallus (chicken)
Lineage: Eukaryota; Metazoa; Chordata; Aves; Galliformes; Phasianidae
Source: RNAcentral